Molecule: non-coding RNA, 23 nt
Filed under: Cricetulus griseus (Chinese hamster)
Lineage: Eukaryota; Metazoa; Chordata; Mammalia; Rodentia; Cricetidae
Source: RNAcentral
GUGGCUCCUGGAUCCUGUUCAUA